AUAUCUCAAAUAAACAUAAGCCUCUAUCACUGUGCUCAGCAAAAUACUACUCCCGGGUAAAGAAAAUGAGCUGAUAGUCUAAUAUUGCUUUUAAGAGACUGAUUACAACAGGAAAAACAACAAAAGCAAUUAGAAAUUGCAAAUGCAAUCCACACAUAUGAAUGCCAUAUGAAAUGUGAAACUGCACUAAUAUCACUAAUUAAACAAAAAAUUUUCAAUGGGUGAUGCUGUCGGCAUUUGUAGCCAAAAAGCAUGUUUCCAAUGUCAAAGGAUAACACAUGAGCAUGAAUUCUGCUUUUUCAUCUCCUC
Molecule: unclassified non-coding RNA, 309 nt
Filed under: Hevea brasiliensis (rubber tree)
Lineage: Eukaryota; Viridiplantae; Streptophyta; Magnoliopsida; Malpighiales; Euphorbiaceae
Source: RNAcentral